This 21-nucleotide non-coding RNA is filed under the name Caenorhabditis elegans. Lineage: Eukaryota; Metazoa; Nematoda; Chromadorea; Rhabditida; Rhabditidae. The record is from RNAcentral.
UUCACCGUUUAAGCAGUAACU